Molecule: ribosomal RNA, 496 nt
Filed under: uncultured bacterium
Lineage: Bacteria
Description: bacterial SSU rRNA
Rfam family: Bacterial small subunit ribosomal RNA
Source: RNAcentral
UAGUCCACACCGUAAACGAUGAGAGCUAGUUGUCUGCAGGCAUGCCUGUAGGUGACGCAGCUAACGCAUUAAGCUCUCCGCCUGGGGAGUACGGUCGCAAGAUUAAAACUCAAAGAAAUUGACGGGGGCCCGCACAAGCGGUGGAGCAUGUGGUUUAAUUCGAAGCAACGCGCAGAACCUUACCAGCCCUUGACAUCCCGAUCGCGGAAAUGAGAGAUUGUUUCCUUCAAUUCGGUUGGAUCGGUGACAGGUGCUGCACGGCUGUCGUCAGCUCGUGUCGUGAGAUGUUGGGUUAAGUCCCGCAACGAGCGCAACCCUUAUCGUUAGUUGCCAUCAUUAAGUUGGGCACUCUAACGAGACUGCCGGUGAUAAGCCGGAGGAAGGCGGGGAUGACGUCAAGUCCUCAUGGCCCUUACGGGCUGGGCUACACACGUGCUACAAUGGCGGUGACAGUGGGCAGCGACUUCGCGAGGAGGAGCUAAUCCCAAAAAACCGU